AAGAAUCGAGGCGAAGGGGCCCCAAAGGCCCCGGGACCGACACGUUCUACCCUGUCCUUUAGAUACCUCUACCUCCUCCCCGGCCAAGCGCCGGGCUGGCUACUUGAAAAAACCUUGCAGUUUACAGUCAAUUCAGUACAAAAACAAAACAAAAUUA
This 157-nucleotide unclassified non-coding RNA is filed under the name uncultured fungus. RNAcentral's name for it is "sequence contains ITS1". Lineage: Eukaryota; Fungi. The record is from RNAcentral.